CCUACGGGCGACUGCAGUGAGGAAUAUUGGUCAAUGGGAGAGAUCCUGAACCAGCCAAGCCGCGUGAGGGAAGACGGCCCUAUGGGUUGUAAACCUCUUUUGUCGGAGAACAAAACCCGGGACGUGUCCCGGACUGCGUGUAUCCGAAGAAAAAGCAUCGGCUAACUCCGUGCCAGCAGCCGCGGUAAUACGGAGGAUGCGAGCGUUAUCCGGAUUUAUUGGGUUUAAAGGGUGCGUAGGCGGUCCGUUAAGUCAGCGGGAAAAUUGCGGGGCUCAACCCCGUCGAGCCGUUGAAACUGGCAGACUUGAGUUGGCGAGAAGUACGCGGAAUGCGCGGUGUAGCGGUGAAAUGCAUAGAUAUCGCGCAGAACUCCGAUUGCGAAGGCAGCGUACCGGCGCCAGACUGACGCUGAGGCACGAAAGCGUGGGGAUCGAACAGGAUUAGAUACCCCUGUAGUC
This 459-nucleotide ribosomal RNA is filed under the name uncultured bacterium. RNAcentral's name for it is "partial 16S ribosomal RNA". It matches the Rfam family "Bacterial small subunit ribosomal RNA", at positions 338 to 795 of the family's 1533-position model. The record is from RNAcentral.